AAAAAGAAACGAUGGGGUGCAAAAUAAACGACAGUGCCUUACUUAACCCAAAAUAUUAUACUCAUACAUUAUAAGCAAAAAUGUUAUUUAUUAGUAAUCAUUUAUUCAAAUAUUAAAUUAACAGAAAACAUAAAUUUUUUACUUUAUUUAGUUUAAAGUAAAGAACAUUAAAAAAAAAACGAUAGGACGCAAAAUAAACGAUACUGCCUUUCUUACCCAAAAUAUUAUACUCAUACACUACAAAUAAAAUUGUUAUUUAUUACUAAUCAUUUAUUCAAAUAUUCUAUUAAUAUAAAACUUUAAUUGUUCGCUUUAAUAGGUUUGAAGUCAGGAACAUUAAAAAGGAUAUAAUAGGCCCAAAAUAAACGACAGUGCCUUACUUACCCCAAAAUAUUAUACUCAUACAUUAUAAGCAAAAUUGUUUUCAUUAGUAAUCAUUUAUUCA
RNAcentral lists this long non-coding RNA (445 nucleotides) under Manihot esculenta (cassava). RNAcentral describes it as "long non-coding RNA (MESC_LNC011936)". The record is from RNAcentral. Lineage: Eukaryota; Viridiplantae; Streptophyta; Magnoliopsida; Malpighiales; Euphorbiaceae.